GGCGACGUAGCCAAGCGGUCUAAGGCGGGGGUCUGCAAAACCUCUAUUCGGCGGUUCGAAUCCGCCCGUCGCCUCCA
This 77-nucleotide transfer RNA is filed under the name Chloroflexota bacterium. RNAcentral describes it as "tRNA-Cys". It matches the Rfam family "tRNA". From Rfam's summary of the family: Transfer RNA (tRNA) molecules are approximately 80 nucleotides in length. Their secondary structure includes four short double-helical elements and three loops (D, anti-codon, and T loops). RNAcentral also lists the same sequence under 2 other names. Lineage: Bacteria; Bacillati; Chloroflexota. The record is from RNAcentral.